Molecule: ribosomal RNA, 497 nt
Filed under: uncultured bacterium
Lineage: Bacteria
Description: partial 16S ribosomal RNA
Rfam family: Bacterial small subunit ribosomal RNA
Source: RNAcentral
GAUGAACGCUGGCGGCGUGCCUAAUACAUGCAAGUCGAGCGAACAGAUAAGGAGCUUGCUCCUUUGACGUUAGCGGCGGACGGGUGAGUAACACGUGGGUAACCUACCUAUAAGACUGGCAUAACUCCGGGAAACCGGGGCUAAUGCCGGAUAACAUUUAGAACCGCAUGGUUCUAAAGUGAAAGAUGGUUUUGCUAUCACUUAUAGAUGGACCCGCGCCGUAUUAGCUAGUUGGUAAGGUAACGGCUUACCAAGGCAACGAUACGUAGCCGACCUGAGAGGGUGAUCGGCCACACUGGAACUGAGACACGGUCCAGACUCCUACGGGAGGCAGCAGUAGGGAAUCUUCCGCAAUGGGCGAAAGCCUGACGGAGCAACGCCGCGUGAGUGAUGAAGGUCUUCGGAUCGUAAAACUCUGUUAUUAGGGAAGAACAAAUGUGUAAGUAACUGUGCACGUCUUGACGUUACCUAAUCAGAAAGCCACGGCUAACUACGUG